UAAAUUAGUGUUAGAUAUAAACUUUAAAGUUAAAGAUUUUGGCGGUAUUUUAGUCUUUUCAGAGGAACCUGUUCUAUAAUUGAUAAUCCACGAUUAAUUUAACUUAUUUUAUUAAUUUGUAUAUCAUCGUAGUUUGAAUAUUUUAAAGAAUUUAAAUAUUCAAGAUUUUUAUUAAAAAUUAAAUCAGAUCAAGGUGCAGUUUAUAAAUAAGGAGAAAUGGGUUACAUUAUAAAUAUUUAUAUUUAAUAUAAAUUAAAAUUUAUAAUUAUAUUGGAUUUGAAAGUAAUAUAAUUUAUUUAAAUUAUAUGAUUUAAGCUCUAAAAUAUGCACACAUCGCCCGUC
Molecule: ribosomal RNA, 342 nt
Filed under: Amphichroum sp.
Lineage: Eukaryota; Metazoa; Arthropoda; Insecta; Coleoptera; Staphylinidae
Description: partial 12S ribosomal RNA
Source: RNAcentral